Molecule: ribosomal RNA, 251 nt
Filed under: uncultured prokaryote
Description: partial 16S rRNA
Rfam family: Bacterial small subunit ribosomal RNA
Source: RNAcentral
ACGGAGGGUGCAAGCAUUAAUCGGAUUUACUGGGCGUAAAGGGCGCGUAGGCGGUUAUACAAGUCAGCUGUGAAAUAUCUGGGCUCAACCCGGAGACUGCAGGUGAGACUGUAUAGCUAGAGGGUAAGUGGGGAAAAUGGAAUUCCACGUGUAGCGGUGAAAUGCGUAGAUAUGUGGAAGAACACCGGAGGCGAAGGCGGUUUUCCAAUUUAUUCCUGACGCUGAGGCGCGAAAGCAAGGGGAGCAAACAG